CGGCGGACGGGUGAGUAACGCGUGGGUAACCUGCCUCAUACAGGGGGAUAACAGUUAGAAAUGACUGCUAAUACCGCAUAAGCGCACGGGACUGCAUGGUCCAGUGUGAAAACCGAGGUGGUAUGAGAUGGACCCGCGUCUGAUUAGCUGGUUGGCGGGGUAACGGCCCACCAAGGCGACGAUCAGUAGCCGACCUGAGAGGGUGGCCGGCCACAUUGGGACUGAGACACGGCCCAAACUCCUACGGGAGGCAGCAG
Molecule: ribosomal RNA, 257 nt
Filed under: uncultured bacterium
Lineage: Bacteria
Description: partial 16S ribosomal RNA
Rfam family: Bacterial small subunit ribosomal RNA
Source: RNAcentral